This 22-nucleotide microRNA is filed under the name Macaca fascicularis (crab-eating macaque). RNAcentral's name for it is "novel_miR9-3p". Lineage: Eukaryota; Metazoa; Chordata; Mammalia; Primates; Cercopithecidae. The record is from RNAcentral.
UAUGUCAGAUAAUUAUAGGUGC